Lutra lutra (Eurasian river otter) is the source of this 176-nucleotide long non-coding RNA. RefSeq lists it as uncharacterized. NCBI's taxonomy places the organism in Eukaryota, Metazoa, Chordata, Mammalia, Carnivora, Mustelidae. The transcript has 2 exons. The record is from RefSeq and is a predicted model, not a curated record.
UAUUCAGGAACCUCUCUUGAAGAAUUUACUGAAGAAUGAAUUUCAUCCAAAUAAAGACUAACUGGGGAGAAAUUCAGAAAACUGUGUGAUGGAGAGCAUUAAAUAUAUUAAGUUGUAGAUAUUUAAAAUAAAGGUGGUCAUAAGAAUGGAAAACCUGUAUGCAAAUUUUGUUUCCU